UACGUAGGGGGCAAGCGUUGUCCGGAUUUAUUGGGCGUAAAGAGCGUGUAGGCGGCCAGGUAGGUCUGCUGUGAAAACUCGAGGCUUAACCUCGAGCUGUCGGCGGAAACCAUCUGGCUAGAGUCCGGAAGAGGAGAAUGGAAUUCCCGGUGCAGCGGUGAAAUGUGCAGAUAUCGGGAAGAACACCCGUGGCGAAGGCGGUUCUCUGGGACGGUACUGACGCUGAGACGCGAAAGCGUGGGGAGCGAACAGG
Molecule: ribosomal RNA, 253 nt
Filed under: uncultured bacterium
Lineage: Bacteria
Description: partial 16S ribosomal RNA
Rfam family: Bacterial small subunit ribosomal RNA
Source: RNAcentral